CUCAUUGUCAUGUGCUAUAAAAUUGAAUAACUCUUUGGUGUCUAUGUUUUGAAACUUUGUACACGACAUCUCAUGACAAUAUAGGUCUUUUAGGGUAUUUUAAAUGUGUUCUUAUUGAUUGAUUAUUAUAUGAGUCUAGUUAUACUUAAUUUCCCACUGCUCUUUCUUUAACUAUUGAUAGUCUGAUGCAUUGGAUUAUUAUGUGAAGUUUUACUUUCCCACUGCUCUGCAAUUUCUUUAACUAAGGGGUCUGGUUUUUUUAAUUUAUGUUCUGAUUAUUCUGUGUUAGUUUUAGAGUGUUGGUGGUCUCAAAACAUAUGAAGACGAGCCCCAAGGAAAUCAUAGACCAGCCAUCAUGGAAAAAGAAUGGACCAAAUAUGAAAGUAUUGUCUAUUAGAAGAGUGAACGAAGACAUAUUUUAGGACACGCAAAAGGGUCUUUUACGACACGCAAAAUUGUCUUUUACGACACGCAAAAGUGUCUUUUACGACACGUAAAAUGGUCUUUUAUGGCACACAAUCAAAGUUGUAAAACAUCUUUCACGGCGUGCAGAAGAGUGUUUUAUGACGUGCAAAAAAUAUUUUUUACGACGCACAUUUUGUGUGCUACAAGAGAAAUUUAUCUUUUACGACAUGGUCUUUUACGACAUGCUUCUUUGUGCCGUAAAGUUGUCUUUUACAGCGCACAUUGUGUGUCGUAAAAGACCAGUUUUGUUGUAGUGAUAGCAAAGUGAUGGGAAGACACUGCAGCAGCACCAGCCGGGCCAGCUUAUAUCGAAGAAAAAAAAAAACAAAAUUAACUUUGACAUGUGACUCGGCACAGCUUUAGUUGACAUGUUUGCUAGAUGUGGUGACCUUCAAAGUGCAAUGAAGGUGUUCAAUAACAUGGCAAGAAGAGAUGUUUCUGCUUGGACAGCCGACAUUGGAGCAAUGGCCAUGCAAGGAAAUGGGGAGUGAGCUAUAGAGCUUUUUGAUGACAUGCUUAAGCAAAGGGUGAAACCAGAUGAAGUAGUCUUUAUGGCAGUACUAACAGCAUGCAGCCAUGUUGGUCUUCUGGAUAUCAUUGUUUUUUCAUUUGUUGGUUUUUCUGAGCUUUUAAUUCAUAGUGGUUAGUAACAUUUGAAAUUAGAAAAAUGGUAGUUGCAUCAACUGAUCAGCAUAUAUGGAUGGCUUGGAUCUGGGGUUACCAUACUAGCACCUUAAGAAAGAGGAGCAAUGAUCAAGUAGUGUGGUUGAUGAGACUGAUUAUCUGCACAGUCACAGGCAAGUGGCAUGAGGCUCUUUAGAGGCUGCUGCAGGAUAAGUACAAAUUUAUAAUAUGGAGGAAAGAGGUGCCACUGGGAAUGGGUGCAGAUUCUUCCCAACUCUGAAUAAGCUAGCUAGAAGCAAAAGUGUCUGCUGUUCACCUUAGUUGUGCACUUUGUGCCUACAAUAUUUUCCUACGCACUCAGGUGCCAAUUUAUCGAAACAUAUCAUAUUUGCACCAUA
This is a long non-coding RNA of Rosa rugosa (rugosa rose), 1487 nucleotides long. RefSeq lists it as uncharacterized. The transcript has 3 exons. NCBI's taxonomy places the organism in Eukaryota, Viridiplantae, Streptophyta, Magnoliopsida, Rosales, Rosaceae. The record is from RefSeq and is a predicted model, not a curated record.